RNAcentral lists this microRNA precursor (86 nucleotides) under Cordylochernes scorpioides. The record is from RNAcentral. Lineage: Eukaryota; Metazoa; Arthropoda; Arachnida; Pseudoscorpiones; Chernetidae.
CUCAAAGUGGUGCGAGAGUCUAAGGGAGAGCAUGCUUUCGAGGCUUUUACCCAGGAUAGGGAGAAGUACGAUCGGACGGUUUUGAG